GACGAACGCUGGCGGCGUGCUUAACACAUGCAAGUCGAACGCGCCUGUCCUCUGGGUUUCUGGGGGGUGGGUGAGUGGCGAACGGGUGAGUAACACGUGAGUAACCUGCCCCCUUCUUCGGGAUAACGGUCUGAAAGGGCUGCUAAUACCGGGUAUUCACUGGUCUCCGCAUGGGGUCUGGUGGAAAGGUUUUUUUCUGGUGGGGGAUGGGCUCGCGGCCUAUCAGCUUGUUGGUGGGGUGAUGGCCCACCAAGGCUUUGACGGGUAGCCGGCCUGAGGGGGUGACCGGUCACAUUGGGACUGAGAUACGGCCCAGACUCCUACGGGAGGCAGCAGUGGGGAAUAAUGCACAAUGGGCGCAAGCCUGAUGCAGCGACGCCGCGUGAGGGAUGGAGGCCUUCGGGUUGUGAACCUCUUUCGCCCGUGGUCAAGCCGCGACGUGGGUCGUGGUGAGGGUAGUGGGUAAAGAAGCGCCGGCUAACUACGUG
This 488-nucleotide ribosomal RNA is filed under the name uncultured bacterium. RNAcentral describes it as "partial 16S ribosomal RNA". It matches the Rfam family "Bacterial small subunit ribosomal RNA", at positions 28 to 507 of the family's 1533-position model. The record is from RNAcentral.